Molecule: ribosomal RNA, 253 nt
Filed under: uncultured bacterium
Lineage: Bacteria
Description: partial 16S ribosomal RNA
Rfam family: Bacterial small subunit ribosomal RNA
Source: RNAcentral
CACGGAUGGGGCAAGCGUUGUUCGGAAUCACUGGGCGUAAAGGGCGUGUAGGCGGUUCGAAAAGCCCGGCGUGAAAGGUAUCGGCUUAACCGAUAGACUGCGCUGGGAACUGCCGGACUGGAGUCAUGGAGGGGGAGCUGGAAUUCCAGGUGUAGGGGUGAAAUCUGUAGAGAUCUGGAAGAACACCGGUGGCGAAGGCGAGCUUCUGGCCAAUGACUGACGCUGAGGCGCGAAAGCGUGGGGAGAAAACAGG